GAUGAACGCUAGCGGCAGGCCUAACACAUGCAAGUCGAGGGGUAACAGGGAAAAGCUUGCUUUUCCGCUGACGACCGGCGCACGGGUGCGUAACGCGUAUGCAACCUACCUCUUACUGGGGUAUAGCCCAGAGAAAUUUGGAUUAAUCCCCCAUAGUACCUUUCAAUCGCAUGGUUGAAUGGUUAAAGGUUACGGUAAGAGAUGGGCAUGCGUCCCAUUAGUUAGUUGGUGAGGUAAUGGCUCACCAAGACUCCGAUGGGUAGGGGUUCUGAGAGGAUGAUCCCCCACACUGGUACUGAGACACGGACCAGACUCCUACGGGAGGCAGCAGUGAGGAAUAUUGCGCAAUGGACGAAAGUCUGACGCAGCCAUGCCGCGUGCAGGAUGACGGCGCUACGCGUUGUAAACUGCUUUUAUUUACAAAGAAACCUCGGGACGUGUCCCGAGCUGACGGUAGUAUUUGAAUAAGCACCGGCUAACUCCG
RNAcentral lists this ribosomal RNA (484 nucleotides) under uncultured Cryomorphaceae bacterium. RNAcentral's name for it is "bacterial SSU rRNA". It matches the Rfam family "Bacterial small subunit ribosomal RNA", at positions 28 to 505 of the family's 1533-position model. Lineage: Bacteria; Pseudomonadati; Bacteroidota; Flavobacteriia; Flavobacteriales; Cryomorphaceae. The record is from RNAcentral.